AACGCUAGCGGCAAGCCUACACAUGCAAGUCGAACGGUAACUUUUGGUGCUUGCACCGAAAGACGAGUGGCGAACGGGUGCGUAACGCGUAUGCAAUCUACCUUUUACUAGGGUAUAGCCCGAAGAAAUUUGGAUUAAUCCCCUAUAAUAUCAUGAAUUCGCAUGAUUUUAUGAUUAAAGCUUCGGCGGUAAAAGAUGAGCAUGCGUCCUAUUAGUUAGUAGGUGAGGUAACGGCUCACCUAGACUACGAUAGGUAGGGGUCCUGAGAGGGAGAUCCCCCACACUGGUACUGAGACACGGACCAGACUCCUACGGGAGGCAGCAGUGAGGAAUAUUGGACAAUGGACGAAAGUCUGAUCCAGCUAUGCCGCGUGCAGGAUGACGGCCCUAUGGGUUGUAAACUGCUUUUAUACAGGAAGAAAAAAUCCGACGUGUCGGAUCUUGACGGUACUGUAAGAAUAAGGAUCGGCUAAC
Molecule: ribosomal RNA, 474 nt
Filed under: uncultured Bacteroidota bacterium
Lineage: Bacteria; Pseudomonadati; Bacteroidota
Description: bacterial SSU rRNA
Rfam family: Bacterial small subunit ribosomal RNA
Source: RNAcentral